GACGAACGCUGGCGGCGUGCUUAACACAUGCCAGUCGAACGGAAAGGCCCUGCUUUUGUGGGGUGCUCGAGUGGCGAACGGGUGAGUAACACGUGAGUAACCUGCCCUUGACUUUGGGAUAACUUCAGGAAACUGGGGCUAAUACCGGAUAGGAGCUCCUGCUGCAUGGUGGGGGUUGGAAAGUUUCGGCGGUUGGGGAUGGACUCGCGGCUUAUCAGCUUGUUGGUGGGGUAGUGGCUUACCAAGGCUUGGACGGGUAGCCGGCCUGAGAGGGUGACCGGCCACAUUGGGACGGGGAUACGGCCAGGACUCCUACGGGAGGAAGCAGUGGGGAAUAUUGCACAAUGGGCGGAGGCCUGAUGCAGCACCGCCGCGUGCGGGAUGACGGCCUUCGGGUGGUAAACCGCUUUCGCCUGUGACGAAGCGUGAGUGACGGUAAUGGGUAAAGAAGCACCGGCAAAUUACGU
Molecule: ribosomal RNA, 467 nt
Filed under: uncultured bacterium
Lineage: Bacteria
Description: partial 16S ribosomal RNA
Rfam family: Bacterial small subunit ribosomal RNA
Source: RNAcentral